CCCAUUUGGGAUGUCUGGUCGUACAAGAACACAGGGGGCGACACAGGCUCCCCACCAAACCCUUGUGCAUGUCAAACUUGAUCAAAUUGAGGGUUCAAAUCAGUCCCAAAUCGAAAUCCAAGCUCGUAUUCAUGAACACCAAGUUGAAAGGAUCACAAGUUUGACGCGUAACAAGCUAGGUGGAAGCUUGGAGUGAAAGCGGGUCAAACAAGUCAAGCAUGGAAGAAAAGCGUAGCUCGGAUGCAAGGUAAGUGAAACUUACAUAAUUGUGUAGAUUACUUGUUCAUUCUAUACGUUAUAGAUGCAAUAAUGCUAAUAUUGAAAAUAUGGAUUUCCGACGUGAUUGAUACGAGUCGGAACAUAUAAAGAUGAUAAAAACCAUGUUUAUGGCAAAAAGGGGAUUCGGUAAUGAAAUCCGGGACGGGAUGGAUGUAUGAAUUAGAAGUCAAAAACCAUGUUUUUGAUUUAGUAGGCAACGUUGGGCAUAUAGGCCGAACGGGUCAAAUGGUGGUGAUAACACUAUUUGACAAUAUCGACUAAUGCGAUUGUCAAGUCUUGUGUUAACAG
RNA transcript from Helianthus annuus (common sunflower), 567 nucleotides. RefSeq lists it as uncharacterized. The record is from RefSeq and is a predicted model, not a curated record. The transcript is spliced from 2 exons. NCBI's taxonomy places the organism in Eukaryota, Viridiplantae, Streptophyta, Magnoliopsida, Asterales, Asteraceae.